UGAGGAAUAUUGCGCAAUGGGCGAAAGCCUGACGCAGCGACACCGCGUGAAGGAUGAAGGUCUUAGGAUUGUAAACUUCUGUUAAGUGAGAAGAAAGAACCACCUCUAAUAUAGGUGGGAGAUGACGUUAUCAUUAUAGAAAGCACCGGCUAACCUCGUGCCAGCAGCCGCGGUAAUACGAGGGGUGCAAGCGUUAUUCGGAAUUACUGGGCGUAAAGGGUGCGUAGACGGUUUUUUAAGUCUUUUGUUUAAUACCUCGGCCUAACUGAGGAUCAGCGAAAGAAACUGAAAAGCUUGAGGAUGGAAGAGAGAAGUGGAAUUCUCGGAGUAGCGGUAAAAUGCGUAGAUCUCGAGAGGAACACCGAUGGCGAAAGCAGCUUCUUGGUCCAUAUCUGACGUUGAGGCACGAAAGCGUGGGGAGCAAACAGG
RNAcentral lists this ribosomal RNA (429 nucleotides) under uncultured bacterium. RNAcentral describes it as "bacterial SSU rRNA". It matches the Rfam family "Bacterial small subunit ribosomal RNA", at positions 355 to 776 of the family's 1533-position model. The record is from RNAcentral.